This 468-nucleotide ribosomal RNA is filed under the name uncultured bacterium. Its description in RNAcentral is "partial 16S ribosomal RNA". It matches the Rfam family "Bacterial small subunit ribosomal RNA", at positions 28 to 507 of the family's 1533-position model. The record is from RNAcentral.
GACGAACGCUGGCGGCGUGCUUAACACAUGCAAGUCGAACGGAAAGGCCCUGCUUUUGUGGGGUGCUCGAGUGGCGAACGGGUGAGUAACACGUGAGUAACCUGCCCUUGACUUUGGGAUAACUUCAGGAAACUGGGGCUAAUACCGUAUCGGAGCUCCUGCUGCAUGGUGGGGGUUGGAAAGUUUCGGCGGUUGGGGAUGGACUCGCGGCUGAUCAGCUUGUUGGUGGGGUAGUGGCUUACCAAGGCUUUGACGGGUAGCCGGCCUGAGAGGGUGACCGGCGACAUUGGGACUGAGAUACGGCGCAGACUCCUACGGGAGGCAGCAGUGGGGAAUAUUGCACAAUGGGCGGAAGCCUGAUGCAGCAACGCCGCGUGCGGGAUGACGGCCUGUGGGUUGUAAACCGCCUUCGCCUGUGACGAAGCGUGAGUGACGGUAAUGGGUAAAGAAGCACCGGCUAACUACGUG